This 29-nucleotide non-coding RNA is filed under the name Mus musculus (house mouse). The record is from RNAcentral. Lineage: Eukaryota; Metazoa; Chordata; Mammalia; Rodentia; Muridae.
UAACAGAGAUAUUGAUAUCUUAAGCUGUC